Non-coding RNA from Pelobates cultripes (western spadefoot toad), 209 nucleotides. NCBI's taxonomy places the organism in Eukaryota, Metazoa, Chordata, Amphibia, Anura, Pelobatidae. The record is from the annotation of a GenBank genome assembly.
AACAAACCACACAUAACCACACAGUCAGGUAUUAACACUCAACCGAGUGCAGAGACAGACAGAGCCUCACAAUUAUCAAACACAACACCUACCAUAGGACAUUUAGAGACCAGACAUAGGGCACCGUGAUAGGCACCCUCAAGAUGGCAGUCACCAGCCUUAAUGACAAGUGAGAACAGAACACCUCCAGCAAGCGCUGUAGUUCUGAC